This 492-nucleotide ribosomal RNA is filed under the name uncultured bacterium. RNAcentral describes it as "partial 16S ribosomal RNA". It matches the Rfam family "Bacterial small subunit ribosomal RNA", at positions 29 to 507 of the family's 1533-position model. The record is from RNAcentral.
AGUGAACGCUGGCGGUAGGCCUAACACAUGCAAGUCGAACGGCAGCACAGUAAGAGCUUGCUCUUACGGGUUGCGAGUGGCGGACGGGUGAGGAAUACAUCGGAAUCUACUUUUUCGUGGGGGUUAACGUAGGGAAACUUACGCUAAUACCGCAUACGACCUACGGGUGAAAGCAGGGGAUCUUCGGACCUUGCGCGAUUGAAUGCGCCGAUGUCGGAUUAGCUAGUUGGCGGGGUACAGGCCCACCAAGGCGCCGAUCCGUAGCUGGUCUGUGAGGAUGAUCGGCGACACUGGAACUGAGACACGGUCCAGACUCCUACGGGAGGCAGCAGUGGGGAAUGUUGGGCAGUGGGCGCAAGCCUGAUCCAACCGUACCGCGUGGGAGAAGGAGGCCUUCGGGUUGUAAAGCCCUUUUGUUGGGAAAGAAAAGCAGCAGGUUAAUACCCCGCUGUUCUGACGGUACCCAAAGAAUAAGCACCGGCUAACUUCGCG